UACGGGGGGAGCAAGCGUUGUUCGGAUUUACUGGGCGUAAAGGGCGCGUAGGCGGCCUGAUAAGUGGGGGGUGAAAUCCUGCGGCUUAACCGCAGGGCUGCCUUCUAAACUGUCAGGCUCGAGCACAGUAGAGGCAGGUGGAAUUCCCGGUGUAGCGGUGGAAUGCGUAGAGAUCGGGAAGAACAUCAGUGGCGAAGGCGGCCUGCUGGGCUGUUGCUGACGCUGAGGCGCGACAGCGUGGGGAGCAAACAGG
RNAcentral lists this ribosomal RNA (253 nucleotides) under uncultured bacterium. Its description in RNAcentral is "partial 16S ribosomal RNA". It matches the Rfam family "Bacterial small subunit ribosomal RNA", at positions 524 to 776 of the family's 1533-position model. The record is from RNAcentral.